CCUACGGGGUGCAGCAGUGGGGAAUAUUGCACAAUGGGCGAAAGCCUGAUGCAGCAACGCCGCGUGAAGGAAGAAGGCCUUCGGGUCGUAAACUUCUGUCCUUGGGGAAGAAAGAAGACGGUACCUGACUAAGAAGCCCCGGCUAACUACGUGCCAGCAGCCGCGGUAAUACGUAGGGGGCGAGCGUUAUCCGGAUUCACUGAGUGUAAAGGGAGCGUAGACGGCCGUGCAAGCCAGGAGUGAAAGCCCGGGGCCCAACCCCGGGACUGCUCUUGGAACUGUGCGGCUAGAGUGCGGGAGGGGCAGGCGGAAUGCCUGGUGUAGCGGUGAAAUGCGUAGAUAUCAGGAGGAACACCGGCGGCGAAGGCGGCCUGCUGGACCGCGACUGACGUUGAGGCUCGAAAGCGUGGGGAGCGAACAGGAUUAGAUACCCCAGUAGUC
RNAcentral lists this ribosomal RNA (441 nucleotides) under uncultured bacterium. RNAcentral describes it as "partial 16S ribosomal RNA". It matches the Rfam family "Bacterial small subunit ribosomal RNA", at positions 338 to 795 of the family's 1533-position model. The record is from RNAcentral.